AGCAGCCGCGGUAAUUCCAGCUCCAAUAGCGUAUAUUAAAGUUGUUGCAGUUAAAAAGCUCGUAGUUGAAUUUCGGGAUUGACGUGACGGUCAUGCCUUAAGGGGUAUGAACUGUUACAGUUGAUUUCUCACCUUCUGGAGAAACUUGAUGUCCUUUAUUGGGUGUCUUGCGGAUCCAGGACCUUUACCUUGAAAAAAUUAGAGUGUUUAAAGCAGGCAUUUUUGCUCGAAUACAUUAGCAUGGAAUAAUAGAAUAGGACGGCAUGGUUCUAUUUUGUUGGUUUCUAGGAUCACCGUAAUGAUUAAUAGGGAUAGUUGGGGGCAUUAGUAUUCAAUUGUCAGAGGUGAAAUUCUUGGAUUUAUUGAAGACUAACUACUGCGAAAGCAUUUGCCAAGGAUGUUUUCAUUAAUCAAGAACGAAAGUUAGGGGAUCGAAGACGAUCAGAUACCGUCGUAGUCUUAACCAUAAACUAUGCCGACUAGGAAUCAGACGAUGUUAAUUUUUUAAUGUACUUCGUUU
RNAcentral lists this ribosomal RNA (520 nucleotides) under uncultured Entrophospora. RNAcentral's name for it is "SSU rRNA". It matches the Rfam family "Eukaryotic small subunit ribosomal RNA", at positions 569 to 1081 of the family's 1831-position model. Lineage: Eukaryota; Fungi; Glomeromycota; Glomeromycetes; Entrophosporales; Entrophosporaceae. The record is from RNAcentral.